AUGCAAGUCGAGCGGUAGCACAGAGAGCUUGCUCUCGGGUGACGAGCGGCGGACGGGUGAGUAAUGUCUGGGAAACUGCCUGAUGGAGGGGGAUAACUACUGGAAACGGUAGCUAAUACCGCAUAACGUCGCAAGACCAAAGUGGGGGACCUUCGGGCCUCAUGCCAUCAGAUGUGCCCAGAUGGGAUUAGCUGGUAGGUGGGGUAACGGCUCACCUAGGCGACGAUCCCUAGCUGGUCUGAGAGGAUGACCAGCCACACUGGAACUGAGACACGGUCCAGACUCCUACGGGAGGCAGCAGUGGGGAAUAUUGCACAAUGGGCGCAAGCCUGAUGCAGCCAUGCCGCGUGUGUGAAGAAGGCCUUCGGGUUGUAAAGCACUUUCAGCGGGGAGGAAGGCGGUGAGGUUAAUAACCUCAUCGAUUGACGUUACCCGCAGAAGAAGCACCGGCUAACUCCGUGCCAGCAGCCGCGGUAAUACGGAGGGUGCAAGCGUUAAUCGGAAUUACUGGGCGUAAAGCGCACGCAGGCGGUCUGUCAAGUCGGAUGUGAAAUCCCCGGGCUCAACCUGGGAACUGCAUUCGAAACUGGCAGGCUAGAGUCUUGUAGAGGGGGGUAGAAUUCCAGGUGUAGCGGUGAAAUGCGUAGAGAUCUGGAGGAAUACCGGUGGCGAAGGCGGCCCCCUGGACAAAGACUGACGCUCAGGUGCGAAAGCGUGGGGAGCAAACAGGAUUAGAUACCCUGGUAGUCCACGCUGUAAACGAUGUCGAUUUGGAGGUUGUGCCCUUGAGGCGUGGCUUCCGGAGCUAACGCGUUAAAUCGACCGCCUGGGGAGUACGGCCGCAAGGUUAAAACUCAAAUGAAUUGACGGGGGCCCGCACAAGCGGUGGAGCAUGUGGUUUAAUUCGAUGCAACGCGAAGAACCUUACCUGGUCUUGACAUCCACAGAACUUACCAGAGAUGCUUUGGUGCCUUCGGGAACUGUGAGACAGGUGCUGCAUGGCUGUCGUCAGCUCGUGUUGUGAAAUGUUGGGUUAAGUCCCGCAACGAGCGCAACCCUUAUCCUUUGUUGCCAGCGGUCCGGCCGGGAACUCAAAGGAGACUGCCAGUGAUAAACUGGAGGAAGGUGGGGAUGACGUCAAGUCAUCAUGGCCCUUACGACCAGGGCUACACACGUGCUACAAUGGCAUAUACAAAGAGAAGCGACCUCGCGAGAGCAAGCGGACCUCAUAAAGUAUGUCGUAGUCCGGAUUGGAGUCUGCAACUCGACUCCAUGAAGUCGGAAUCGCUAGUAAUCGUAGAUCAGAAUGCUACGGUGAAUACGUUCCCGGGCCUUGUACACACCGCCCGUCACACCAUGGGAGUGGGUUGCAAAAGAAGUAGGUAGCUUAACCUCGGAGGGCGCU
This 1405-nucleotide ribosomal RNA is filed under the name Klebsiella sp. ICB390. RNAcentral's name for it is "bacterial SSU rRNA". It matches the Rfam family "Bacterial small subunit ribosomal RNA". Lineage: Bacteria; Pseudomonadati; Pseudomonadota; Gammaproteobacteria; Enterobacterales; Enterobacteriaceae. The record is from RNAcentral.